GAUUCUACCCUACGGGGAAGGAUGAGAAGCUUCGACUAAGGUUCGACUCGAGCGCCAGCGAGAGAACGUUGCCGCAGGCAACGGCC
Molecule: small RNA, 86 nt
Filed under: Klebsiella variicola
Lineage: Bacteria; Pseudomonadati; Pseudomonadota; Gammaproteobacteria; Enterobacterales; Enterobacteriaceae
Description: partial RtT sRNA
Rfam family: RtT RNA
About the family: This family represents a bacterial cis-regulatory element known as RtT RNA. The exact function of RtT is unknown although it is thought that it may be involved in changing the cellular response in relation to amino acid starvation.
Source: RNAcentral